CGAACGCUGGCGGCAGGCCUAACACAUGCAAGUCGAGCGCACCCUUCGGGGCGAGCGGCGGACGGGUUAGUAACGCGUGAGUAACCUGCCCCAUACACAGGGAUAGCCAUUGGAAACGAUGAUUAAUACCUGAUAACACAUUCGGAUCACAUGUUCUGAAUGUCAAAGAUUUAUCGGUAUGGGAUGGACUCGCGUCUGAUUAGCUAGUUGGUAAGGUAACGGCUUACCAAGGCGACGAUCAGUAGCCGACCUGAGAGGGUGAUC
Molecule: ribosomal RNA, 264 nt
Filed under: uncultured bacterium
Lineage: Bacteria
Description: partial 16S ribosomal RNA
Rfam family: Bacterial small subunit ribosomal RNA
Source: RNAcentral